This 254-nucleotide ribosomal RNA is filed under the name uncultured bacterium. Its description in RNAcentral is "partial 16S ribosomal RNA". It matches the Rfam family "Bacterial small subunit ribosomal RNA", at positions 524 to 776 of the family's 1533-position model. The record is from RNAcentral.
UACAGAGGUCUCAACCGUUGUUCGGAUUCAUUGGGCGUAAAGGGUGCGUAGGCGGUCGCGCAAGUCGGAUGUGAAAUCUCAGGGCUCAACCCUGAAACUGCAUUCGAUACUGCUUUAGCUUGAGUCCUGGAGAGGAGAUCGGAAUUUACGGUGUAGCAGUGAAAUGCGUAGAUAUCGUAAGGAAGACCGGUGGCGAAGGCGGAUCUCUGGACAGGAACUGACACUGAGGCACGAAGGCCAGGGGAGCAAACGGG